UAGAUACCCCGGUAGUCCUAGCUGUAACCGAUUGAUGCUGGUUGUGUGGGGUGUAAUUUCCCUCUGUGCCGAAGCACACGCGUUAAGCAUCCCGCCUGGGUACUACGGCCGCAAGGGCUAAAACUCAAACGAAUUGACGGGGGCCCGCACAAGCAGCGGAGCGUGUGGUUUAAUUCGAUGCUACACGAAGAACAUUACCUGGGUUUGACAUGCACGUGGUAGGGAACCGAAAGGGGACCGACAUUCGGGAGCGUGCACAGGUGCUGCAUGGCUGUCGUCAGCUCGUGCCGUGAGGUGUCGGGUUAAGUCCCGUAACGAGCGCAACCGUUGCCGUUAGUUACAAGUGUCUAAGGGGACUGCCCGGCACAACUGGGAGGAAGGUGGGGAUGACGUCAAGUCAGCAUGGCCUUUAUAUCCAGGGCUACACACACGCUACAAUGGCCGGUACAAUAGGUUGCGAAGUCGUGAGGCGGAGCCAAUCCUCAAAGCCGGUCUCAGUUCGAAUUGCAGUCUGCAACUCGACUGCAUGAAGCUGGAGUUGCUAGUAAUCGCAGGUCACCUCUCCUGCGGUGAAUACGUUCCCGGGCAUUGUACACACCGCCCGUCACGUCAUGGAAGCUGGCAACGCCUGAAG
Molecule: ribosomal RNA, 634 nt
Filed under: uncultured organism
Description: bacterial SSU rRNA
Rfam family: Bacterial small subunit ribosomal RNA
Source: RNAcentral